UACAGAGGGGGCAAGCGUUGUUCGGAAUUACUGGGCGUAAAGGGCGCGUAGGCGGCCUGUUAAGUCGAACGUGAAAUCCCCGGGCUCAACCCGGGAACUGCGUCCGAUACUGGGAGGCUUGAAUCCGGGAGAGGGAUGUGGAAUUCCAGGUGUAGCGGUGAGAUGCGUAGAUAUCUGGAGGAACACCGGUGGCGAAGGCGGCAUCCUGGACCGGUAUUGACGCUGAGGCGCGAAAGCCAGGGGAGCAAACGGG
Molecule: ribosomal RNA, 253 nt
Filed under: uncultured bacterium
Lineage: Bacteria
Description: partial 16S ribosomal RNA
Rfam family: Bacterial small subunit ribosomal RNA
Source: RNAcentral